RNAcentral lists this ribosomal RNA (836 nucleotides) under Bacillus cereus. RNAcentral's name for it is "bacterial SSU rRNA". Lineage: Bacteria; Bacillati; Bacillota; Bacilli; Caryophanales; Bacillaceae. The record is from RNAcentral.
UCGAGCGAAUGGAUUAAGAGCUUGCUCUUAUGAAGUUAGCGGCGGACGGGUGAGUAACACGUGGGUAACCUGCCCAUAAGACUGGGAUAACUCCGGGAAACCGGGGCUAAUACCGGAUAACAUUUUGAACCGCAUGGUUCGAAAUUGAAAGGCGGCUUCGGCUGUCACUUAUGGAUGGACCCGCGUCGCAUUAGCUAGUUGGUGAGGUAACGGCUCACCAAGGCAACGAUGCGUAGCCGACCUGAGAGGGUGAUCGGCCACACUGGGACUGAGACACGGCCCAGACUCCUACGGGAGGCAGCAGUAGGGAAUCUUCCGCAAUGGACGAAAGUCUGACGGAGCAACGCCGCGUGAGUGAUGAAGGCUUUCGGGUCGUAAAACUCUGUUGUUAGGGAAGAACAAGUGCUAGUUGAAUAAGCUGGCACCUUGACGGUACCUAACCAGAAAGCCACGGCUAACUACGUGCCAGCAGCCGCGGUAAUACGUAGGUGGCAAGCGUUAUCCGGAAUUAUUGGGCGUAAAGCGCGCGCAGGUGGUUUCUUAAGUCUGAUGUGAAAGCCCACGGCUCAACCGUGGAGGGUCAUUGGAAACUGGGAGACUUGAGUGCAGAAGAGGAAAGUGGAAUUCCAUGUGUAGCGGUGAAAUGCGUAGAGAUAUGGAGGAACACCAGUGGCGAAAGCGACUUUCUGGUCUGUAACUGACACUGAGGCGCGAAAGCGUGGGGAGCAAACAGGAUUAGAUACCCUGUAGUCCACGCCGUAAACGAUGAGUGCUAAGUGUUARAGGGUUUCCGCCCUUUAGUGCUGAAGUUAACGCAUUAAGCACUCCGCCUGGGG